CCCUGGGUGGCGUAAAUAGUUAAUGCGCUUGGCUGCUAACCAAGAGGUUGAAGGUUCGAGUCCAACCAGGGC
RNAcentral lists this transfer RNA (72 nucleotides) under Loxodonta africana (African savanna elephant). It matches the Rfam family "tRNA". From Rfam's summary of the family: Transfer RNA (tRNA) molecules are approximately 80 nucleotides in length. Their secondary structure includes four short double-helical elements and three loops (D, anti-codon, and T loops). Lineage: Eukaryota; Metazoa; Chordata; Mammalia; Proboscidea; Elephantidae. The record is from Rfam by way of RNAcentral.